GGAGGAGCCGCGGUGGCAGCCGCUCGUUUCUGCCACGUCCCUCCCGGGCGAAGGCGAGCCUGGCGGGCAGCGGCCGGGAAGCGCCACGGCACGUGCGCGCCGAUGCCAAUGGGAGAAGGAUUGUUUAAUACAACGUGUGUUGGUGUGUGAAGACUGCCUUGCUGCCUGACGAUUAGAAGAAGGCCAUUUAAACGAGGGGACAGGUAGCAAGCAAGAACAAGUGUUCAAAACUACAGUGGGAUUUGUUUUUAAGUGUGCUUGUGAAGACGUUGGCAAAAUUUUGAUCAAAAGGCUGUGAGAGAGCAUGAAUGUCUGUUUGUUUGUGGCGUGAGUCAGUGUUUUGGACAAAGCAAGGUUUUAGAAACAGAACUAUAGAAACAGAACCUCCAGCCAAAGGUUUUUACACCGGACCCAAUCCGACGCCAAAAAGAGACGAGGUCGACCGGAAGAAGCAUCUCUUGGCUGCCCCUUUGACCCUUCUUUGGUUAGAUUUCCUUGGCAAGAGGCCCAGGAAAGAA
Thamnophis elegans (Western terrestrial garter snake) is the source of this 518-nucleotide long non-coding RNA. RefSeq lists it as uncharacterized. The record is from RefSeq and is a predicted model, not a curated record. The transcript is spliced from 4 exons. NCBI's taxonomy places the organism in Eukaryota, Metazoa, Chordata, Lepidosauria, Squamata, Natricidae.